GGGAUGUAGCGCAGCUUGGUAGCGCAUCUUCGUUCGGGACGAAGGGGCCGCUGGUUCGAAUCCAGUCAUCCCGA
This 74-nucleotide transfer RNA is filed under the name Scytonema sp. CRU_2_7. RNAcentral's name for it is "tRNA-Pro". It matches the Rfam family "tRNA". Rfam says of the family: Transfer RNA (tRNA) molecules are approximately 80 nucleotides in length. Their secondary structure includes four short double-helical elements and three loops (D, anti-codon, and T loops). The record is from RNAcentral. Lineage: Bacteria; Bacillati; Cyanobacteriota; Cyanophyceae; Nostocales; Scytonemataceae.